This 487-nucleotide ribosomal RNA is filed under the name uncultured Neisseria sp. RNAcentral describes it as "bacterial SSU rRNA". It matches the Rfam family "Bacterial small subunit ribosomal RNA", at positions 31 to 507 of the family's 1533-position model. Lineage: Bacteria; Pseudomonadati; Pseudomonadota; Betaproteobacteria; Neisseriales; Neisseriaceae. The record is from RNAcentral.
GAACGCUGCGGCAUGCUUUACACAUGCAAGUCGGACGGCAGCACAGAGAAGCUUGCUUCUUGGGUGGCGAGUGGCGAACGGGUGAGUAACAUAUCGGAACGUACCGAGUAGUGGGGGAUAACUGAUCGAAAGAUCAGCUAAUACCGCAUACGUCUUGAGAGGGAAAGCAGGGGACCUUCGGGCCUUGCGCUAUUCGAGCGGCCGAUAUCUGAUUAGCUAGUUGGUGGGGUAAAGGCCCACCAAGGCGACGAUCAGUAGCGGGGUCUGAGAGGAUGAUCCGCCACACUGGGACUGAGACACGGCCCAGACUCCUACGGGAGGCAGCAGUGGGGAAUUUUGGACAAUGGGCGCAAGCCUGAUCCAGCCAUGCCGCGUAUCUGAAGAAGACCUUCGGGUUGUAAAGGACUUUUGUCAGGGAAGAAAAGGCUGUUGCUAAUAUCAGCGGCUGAUGACGGUACCUGAAGAAUAAGCACCGGCUAACUACGUG